CUCAAAGUUGGAACCUGUUUGGCUUAGCUAAACCGGAUUGUAAACUGUAGAAGUGUUUUCCAGGCAAGCCGGGCUGAUAAGUCCUUUGGAACAGGGCAUCAUAGAGGGUGAGAAUCCCGUCUUCGGCCUGAGCAUUUGUCUUUUGUGAUACACUUUCAAAGAGUCAGGUUGUUUGGGAAUGCAGCCUAAAUUGGGUGGUAAAUCUCACCUAAAGCUAAAUAUUGGCGAGAAACCGAUAGCGAACAAGUACCGUGAGGGAAAGAUGAAAAGAACUUUGAAAAGAGAGUUAAACAGUAUGUGAAAUUGUUAAAAGGGAACCGUUUGGAGCCAGACUGGCUUGUCUGUAAUCAGUCUAAGUUUCGGCUUGGAUGCACUUGCGGGCUAUGCCUGCCAACGACAAUUUGGCUUGAGGGAAAAAACUAGGGGGAAAUGUGGCCCAUUCGUGGGUGUUAUAGUCCCUUAGAAAAUACCUUGGGCUGGAUUGAGGAACGCAGCGAAUGCUAUUUGGCGAGUUGGCUGGGAGAAUUUUCUGAGGUGCUCCGGUACUGAGGUUGAUCCUUCCAGUUAUACUUCUAUU
Molecule: ribosomal RNA, 577 nt
Filed under: Rhizopus homothallicus
Lineage: Eukaryota; Fungi; Mucoromycota; Mucoromycetes; Mucorales; Rhizopodaceae
Description: eukaryotic LSU rRNA
Rfam family: Eukaryotic large subunit ribosomal RNA
Source: RNAcentral